AUUGAACGCUGGCGGCAGGCCUAACACAUGCAAGUCGAGCGGAUGAAGGGAGCUUGCUCCUGGAUUCCGCGGCGGACGGGUGAGUAAUGCCUAGGAAUCUGCCUGGUAUUGGGGUAUAACGUCCGGAAACGGGCGCUAAUACCGCAUACGUCCUGAGGGAGAAAGUGGGGGAUCUUCGGACCUCACGCUAUCAGAUGAGCCUAGGUCGGAUUAGCUAGUUGGUGGGGUAAAGGCCUACCAAGGCGACGAUCCGUAACUGGUCUGAGAGGAUGAUCAGUCACACGGGAACUGAGACACGGUCCAGACUCCUACGGGAGGCAGCAGUGGGGAAUAUUGGACAAUGGGCGAAAGCCUGAUCCAGCCAUGCCGCGUGUGUGAAGAAGGUCUUCGGAUUGUAAAGCACGUUAAGUUGGGAGGAAGGGCAGUAAGUUAAUACCUUGCUGUUGUGACGGUACCAACAGAAUAAGCACCGGCUAACUUCGUG
This 484-nucleotide ribosomal RNA is filed under the name uncultured bacterium. Its description in RNAcentral is "partial 16S ribosomal RNA". It matches the Rfam family "Bacterial small subunit ribosomal RNA", at positions 30 to 507 of the family's 1533-position model. The record is from RNAcentral.